GUGUAAGUAUAAAUAAUUUUACUUUGAAACUGCGAAUGGCUCAUUAUAUCAGUUAUAGUUUAUUAGAAAUAUUUUACUACUUGGAUAACCGUAGUAAUUCUAGGGCUAAUACAUGAGUAAAACCUCAACUUCGGAAGAGGUGUGUUUAUUAGUAUGAAAACCAUAUAUCUUCGGAUAUAAUAGUGAGUAAUAAUAACCUUUCAUAUCGUAUGUCGUAAGAUAACGAUAGUUCUUUCAAGUUUCUGCCCUAUCAGCUUUCGAUGGUAGUAUAUGGGACUACCAUG
RNAcentral lists this ribosomal RNA (284 nucleotides) under Blastocystis sp. subtype 5. RNAcentral describes it as "partial small subunit ribosomal RNA". It matches the Rfam family "Eukaryotic small subunit ribosomal RNA", at positions 57 to 348 of the family's 1831-position model. Lineage: Eukaryota; Bigyra; Opalinata; Blastocystidae. The record is from RNAcentral.